Molecule: non-coding RNA, 873 nt
Organism: Ictidomys tridecemlineatus (thirteen-lined ground squirrel)
Lineage: Eukaryota; Metazoa; Chordata; Mammalia; Rodentia; Sciuridae
Source: RefSeq, a predicted model, not a curated record
UUUGAACUCAUGAUCCUCCUGCCUCAGCCUCCCAAGCCCCUGGAAUUACAGGAGCACCUCCCUUAAAUUAGAAUGGGGUUGCAGCUGAGGACAAACUGAAGAGGAGGAGAAAGAGGAGUGCACAAGAAAGCAGACAAAAGACUAUCAUCCCUGGGCCUCUUGUUUCUUCCUGUCUGCACGGCACCUUUUGAUAAGCCUGAUCCCAGCAUUAGGAUUUCAUCCCAAGGGAAGGAGGAAAAAACAGAGAGCAUGCAGAAUUCAAAUGAAUUCAUUCAACUUCUCUGCAAUAUCUCCUUGGAAAGACUGAAUCAAAGAAGCAAGCAGAGAUGGCUGAACGUAUUGAGUCUCACCCUUUCUUUUAAUAGCUGUGGUAUGUACACCCAACUUUUAUUUGCAAAGAAUCAAAUGAUGAGAACUUGGAUUCGCUGUUCUUCGAAGGGAAGGAAUUUGGCUUUGGGCCAGAUUUUUCAUAAUGAGACUAGCAAAAAUCAAGAUAACGCUGGUCAAAUAUUAGAUGCAAAUUUCACAAUUCUGAACUGAUGUCUUUUCUUUUUCCCCAUUUAUCAUAUAAAACAUUAAGAGUAAUUUUCAAAGAGAUGACUCCCACUGCUUACUUUACAAGGACCAUUAACAUCCCAACUUUUCACAUGUGCACUGAAUACCCCUGGCCAGAAUGUUUCAUAGAAUCACCUUACUAGACCUUAAGAAUGCAGGAAAAUCAAUCUGUGCCCAGGUAGUUGCAAAAGAUUUCCCAAAUAAAAUGAUAUUUGAGAACAGCUCUGUUGAGAAUAGCUAGUUCAUAAGACAAGGAAAUCAGGUGGAGUUAGAAUUUUCUUUCUGGUAAAAUUCAAUACUGAGGGAAAACAGGUAUAG